CACUAUGCCAAUAUUAUGUUCAGAUCCUUCUGAAGCAGACAGUAUUGAAAGAUCUGAAAAUACAUUAAAUAAAAUCUUUUUGUAAUGAUAAUAGAUUUGUGGGAAUUUCCACAAAUGUAUGUUAGUAUUUAUCAAGGCCUUUAAGAAAGUAAACAAUAACUGCAAGCUUACCAGAAGAAAAAAAAAAUAGAAAACACAAAACAGAACUUGUCAUGACUAUUGCAAAUCAGAUACUUUGUAUUUCUGUCAGUUUGAAAAAAAAAGAUUAUUAUAAAUUAGCAUUUUAAUGCAAAUUUCCUGUUGCGUGGCUGAGAUAUUAAUGCUUUGUACAGAAAAAUAUACAAACUGUUAAAAUUAUCACUACAUUUUUGAUACUUUAAAUUCUUAAUUCAGUAGAUAAUAAGAGGGAAACUGAUAAAUUAAGCAUGCGUGCACACAGACAUGAAGGACUCUUCUCUGAUUGUGUCAAUAGAAACGAGAAACAACCUUCAGUCUCUAAGGGAUGGCCCUUAGAGGAUUACAGGUAUUGCCUUGUAGUAUUUGUCUUCUAUUUAGAAGAAGAAAAAUAGAAAAGCAUUUAAAAUACGGAAGCACAAAACUCAAGUUAAAGAUGAAGAGGAAAGAAAAAUUGCAUUACAAUUCUGGGAACUCUGACUAUUCUGAGGAUGGAUGAGAAGGUCAAAAUGUUUUGUAUUAAAAAAGGACUAAGAGUAGAGGAGUUUGUGCAAAAUACUGUAUUUGUUUUUAUUACAAUAUGGUUCAGCUGAGACCGUGCAAGAAUUUUGUCCUGUAUUCACCUUAACAUACGCUCGGGAAAGUUGUCCUUAAUCAUAUCUUAGAUUCUUUUGUUACUUGUGAUAGAAUUUCUUCAGUUCAGAUCUGUAAUUUUCCAUUUCUUUUCUUCCAUAUACAUUUCAUCGUGCUGACAGUAAAUAACUCUCUCAAAAUAGGUUCUAGGAGCCACUGUAGCAAACACAAUACUAUUUCUCCCCCUAGACAAUAGAUAUUGAGUAUAAAAAGCAGUUAUCUGAAAAGCAUGAAGAACGCUUACAAAGCUUGGAAAUAAAAAAUUAAGCCCUUGAGCUGGCUGAAAGUAA
RNAcentral lists this long non-coding RNA (1097 nucleotides) under Numida meleagris (helmeted guineafowl). RNAcentral's name for it is "lncRNA (ENSNMEG00000004798.1)". The record is from RNAcentral. Lineage: Eukaryota; Metazoa; Chordata; Aves; Galliformes; Numididae.